AGCCGGGCCCUGUGCACCGGCGGGUUAUGAACCCCGUCAGGCCCGGAAGGGAGCAGCGGUAGUAACCUCAGCCGGUGGCGCAGAAAGCCUGGCUAUC
RNAcentral lists this signal recognition particle RNA (97 nucleotides) under Pseudomonadota bacterium. RNAcentral describes it as "signal recognition particle sRNA small type". It matches the Rfam family "Bacterial small signal recognition particle RNA". Rfam says of the family: The signal recognition particle (SRP) is a universally conserved ribonucleoprotein involved in the co-translational targeting of proteins to membranes. Archaeal SRP consists of a 7S RNA and homologues of the eukaryotic SRP19 and SRP54 proteins. RNAcentral also lists the same sequence under 1 other name. Lineage: Bacteria; Pseudomonadati; Pseudomonadota. The record is from RNAcentral.